GCGAACGCUGGCGGCGUGCUUAACACCUGCAAGUCGAACGGAAAGGCCCUGCUUUUGUGGGGUGCUCGAGUGGCGAACGGGUGAGUAACACGUGAGUAACCUGCCCUUGACUUUGGGAUAACUUCAUGAAACUGGGGCUAAUACCGGAUAGGAGCUCCUGCUGCAUGGUGGGGGUUGGAAAGUUUCGGCGGUUGGGGAUGGACUCGCGGCUUAUCAGCUUGUUGGUGGGGUAGUGGCUUACCAAGGCUUUGACGGGUAGCCGGCCUGAGAGGGUGACCGGCCACAUUGGGACUGAGAUACGGCCCAGACUCCUACGGGAGGCAGCAGUGGGGAAUAUUGCACAAUGGGCGGAAGCCUGAUGCAGCAACGCCGCGUGCGGGAUGACGGCCUUCGGGUUGUAAACCGCUUUCGCCUGUGACGAAGCGUGAGUGACGGUAAUGGGUAAAGAAGCACCGGCUAACUACGUG
RNAcentral lists this ribosomal RNA (467 nucleotides) under uncultured bacterium. RNAcentral describes it as "partial 16S ribosomal RNA". It matches the Rfam family "Bacterial small subunit ribosomal RNA", at positions 30 to 507 of the family's 1533-position model. The record is from RNAcentral.